Molecule: ribosomal RNA, 437 nt
Filed under: uncultured bacterium
Lineage: Bacteria
Description: bacterial SSU rRNA
Rfam family: Bacterial small subunit ribosomal RNA
Source: RNAcentral
GAUGAACGCUGGCGGCGUGCUUAACACAUGCAAGUCGAACGGGAUCCCAGGAGCUUGCUCCUGGGUGAGAGUGGCGAACGGGUGAGUAAUGCGUGACCGACCUGCCCCAUACACCGGAAUAGCUCCUGGAAACGGGUGGUAAUGCCGGAUGCUCCAGUUGACCGCAUGGUCCUCUGGGAAAGCUUUUGCGGUAUGGGAUGGGGUCGCGUCCUAUCAGGUAGUCGGCGGGGUAACGGCCCACCGAGCCUACGACGGGUAGCCGGCCUGAGAGGGCGACCGGCCACAUUGGGACUGAGAUACGGCCCAGACUCCUACGGGAGGCAGCAGUGGGGAAUAUUGCACAAUGGGCGCAAGCCUGAUGCAGCGACGCCGCGUGCGGGAUGACGGCCUUCGGGUUGUAAACCGCUUUUGACUGGGAGCAAGCCCUUCGGGGUGAG